This 459-nucleotide ribosomal RNA is filed under the name uncultured bacterium. RNAcentral's name for it is "partial 16S ribosomal RNA". It matches the Rfam family "Bacterial small subunit ribosomal RNA", at positions 338 to 795 of the family's 1533-position model. The record is from RNAcentral.
CCUACGGGUGGCAGCAGUGAGGAAUAUUGGUCAAUGGGCGGGAGCCUGAACCAGCCAAGCCGCGUGAGGGAAGAAGGUACAGCGUAUCGUAAACCUCUUUUGUCAGGGAACAAAGGCGGGGACUAGUCCCCGGAUGAGGGUACCUGAAGAAAAAGCAUCGGCUAACUCCGUGCCAGCAGCCGCUGUAAUACGGAGGAUGCGAGCGUUAUCCGGAUUUAUGUGGGUUAAAGGGUGCGCAGGCGGCCUGUUAAGUCAGAGGGAAAAGCCAGGGGCUCAACACCGGCGAGCCGGUGAAACUGGCGGGCUGGAGUUGGAGAGAAGUAGGCGGCAUGCGCGGUGUAGCGGUGAAAUGCUUAGAUAUCGCGCAGAACCCCGAUUGCGAAGGCAGCGUACCGGCUCCACACUGACGCUGAGGCACGAAAGCGUGGGUAUCGAACAGGAUUAGAUACCCGGGUAGUC